AGCAGCCGCGGUAAUUCCAGCUCCAAUAGCGUAUAUUAAAGUUGUUGCAGUUAAAAAGCUCGUAGUUGAAUUUCGGGGUUAGUAGGUUGGUCAUGCCUCUGGUAUGUACUGGUCUCACUGAUUCCUCCUUCCUGAUGAGCCGUAAUGCCAUUAAUUUGGUGUUGCGGGGAAUUUGGACUGUUACUUUGAAAAAAAUUUAGAGUGUUUAAAGCAAGCUAACGCUUGAAUACAUUAGCAUGGAAUAAUGAAAUAGGACGUUCGAUCCUAUUUUGUUGGUUUCUAGGAUCGACGUAAUGAUUAAUAGGGAUAGUUGGGGGCAUUAGUAUUCAAUUGUCAGAGGUGAAAUUCUUGGAUUUAUUGAAGACUAACUACUGCGAAAGCAUUUGCCAAGGAUGUUUUCAUUAAUCAAGAACGAAAGUUAGGGGAUCGAAGACGAUCAGAUACCGUCGUAGUCUUAACCAUAAACUAUGCCGACUAGGGAUCGGAUGAUGUUAAUUUUUUAAUGACUCAUUCGGCGCCU
Molecule: unclassified non-coding RNA, 520 nt
Filed under: uncultured Glomus
Lineage: Eukaryota; Fungi; Glomeromycota; Glomeromycetes; Glomerales; Glomeraceae
Description: SSU rRNA
Rfam family: Eukaryotic small subunit ribosomal RNA
Source: RNAcentral